UUACACUGGCAGGGGAGAUACUGUGAUCACAGCAGUGGCUUUCCCAGGGCCGGGCUCACCCACCGCACUCCGGCUGUGCUGACCCCUGCCACGUCCCCAAAUGUGGGGAACUCGACUGCAUAACUUGUGGUCAUGGGGGGGCUGUGUUCAUGUUCUCCCCUG
Small nuclear RNA from Artibeus jamaicensis (Jamaican fruit-eating bat), 162 nucleotides. RefSeq annotates it as U1 spliceosomal RNA. NCBI's taxonomy places the organism in Eukaryota, Metazoa, Chordata, Mammalia, Chiroptera, Phyllostomidae. The transcript has a single exon. The record is from RefSeq and is a predicted model, not a curated record.